Molecule: unclassified non-coding RNA, 21 nt
Filed under: Mus musculus (house mouse)
Lineage: Eukaryota; Metazoa; Chordata; Mammalia; Rodentia; Muridae
Description: oocyte_clustered_small_RNA6352
Source: RNAcentral
UUAGGUCCUGUGGGCUCUCGU